CUUGACAUACGUUGGAAGCGCAUCGAAAGGUGCGUGCCCGCUUGGCGGCCCGGCGCACAGGUGCUGCAUGGCUGUCGUCAGCUCGUGCUGUGAAGUGUUGGGUUAAGUCCCGCAACGAGCGCCAACCCUGCUGCCUGUUGCCACCACGAGAGGUGGGGACUCAGGCGGACCGCCGGUGACAAACCGGAGGAAGGUGGGACGACGUCAAGUCAUCAUGGCCCUUAUGUCCUGGGCUACACACGUGCUACAAUGGCCGGUACAGAGCGCAGCGAAGCCGCGAGGCAAAGCGAAUCGCAAAAAGCCGGUCUCAGUACGGAUUGGAGUCUGAAACUCGACUCCAUGAAGUUGGAAUCGCUAGUAAUCGCGCAUCAGCAUGGCGCGGUGAAUACGUUCCCGGGCCUU
Molecule: ribosomal RNA, 402 nt
Filed under: uncultured Spirochaeta sp.
Lineage: Bacteria; Pseudomonadati; Spirochaetota; Spirochaetia; Spirochaetales; Spirochaetaceae
Description: bacterial SSU rRNA
Rfam family: Bacterial small subunit ribosomal RNA
Source: RNAcentral